UCAACUAAAUCUUAAACUCUCUUAUUUCCAAAAAUACCCAUGAUAUAGUCGCGCGCCUGUAUUCAUGCCGUAACCCAUCAUUUGCGAAAACAAAUCUCCAACUCUCUCGCAAUUUCAAAUUUGAACAACUGUCGUCUUCCGUUUGCAAUCGAUCCGUUUGCGGUCGAUCAUCAUCCGAUCACAAAUCUUCUGGUGGACAAAACCCUAGCUACAAGAUCAACAGUCAUGGGCAAGAAAAGUAAGUAUCAUAGAUUACUCAAAACCUAACAUGCAUCAAUUUUUGUUUUCGAAAAACUUAAAUGGUCAUAUUUUCUCAAUUGAUCAAAAACACAUAUUUAUUAUUGAAAAAUCACUGAAAAAUUGAGACUCGUAUUCACAAAAAGUACACAAUCGUAUAUAAUGUCCAAAAAAUCGUAUAUUGUGUUCAUGUCAAUAUACCUCUCUAAAUUAUCAUAUAUUUUCUACAUGCUUAUAUCCUGUAAAUGUUGACACACACCUUUACAGAAAAUUCACAAAAUCACAUACUUUAUUAUAAAUUUGAUAUAGUAGAUGGUGAUCUCUGUCAAAAUUCUCACAUAAAAAUAUUUAAAUUGUCUACACAAUAUGCUAUGAAGAAAACACCUUCACAUUGGCCAUUUAAACUCUAUUACAAUUCUCACCAGCAAAAAUAUGACGAUCCCUGUUAAAAUUAUCAUAUGAAAAAUCAAUUAGAACUAUUUACACAACAUGUUAUGAAUGGAGCAACUCCAAGUUGGCCAUUUUAUCUCUGUUAAAAUUCUCACCAACACAAAAUCAUUCUUGUUAAAAUGCUCAGGUAAAACAUCCCUUAAGACAUUCACAUGAUCUCUCAUAUGACGAGAGCCUCAAUAUUGACAUGAUCUCUUAAAAUUCUCAUCAGCAUAUAUAUCAUUGUCUCUGUUGAGGUAGAAAUCUGGAGCGAGCAAUUAACAGUCAAAAUUAUUCAAGGUGGCAACCCUUUUUGGAGAUGAGGCCGCUUAAAACCCUUUCGGCGUGGAGAUGAGAUUGUAGGAGAUAAAUCUACUAGACAAAGCACAACAGAGAAAUCAGAGAGCAAUAGCUUAUGAAUUGCUAUUGCAGUUACCCCUUUUUGGAGAAUGAUGAGCGGCUUUUAUAGAUGGAGAUUUCAUAGAUGUGUGAGGAGAUCACGGCGCAAUCAUCGAGCAAC
RNAcentral lists this long non-coding RNA (1186 nucleotides) under Actinidia chinensis (golden kiwifruit). Its description in RNAcentral is "long non-coding RNA (ACHI_LNC006405)". Lineage: Eukaryota; Viridiplantae; Streptophyta; Magnoliopsida; Ericales; Actinidiaceae. The record is from RNAcentral.